This is a long non-coding RNA of Mobula hypostoma (lesser devil ray), 3015 nucleotides long. RefSeq lists it as uncharacterized. The record is from RefSeq and is a predicted model, not a curated record. Lineage: Eukaryota; Metazoa; Chordata; Chondrichthyes; Myliobatiformes; Myliobatidae. The transcript has 4 exons.
AAAUAACGUACGUCCCAUUAAUCCCUUCCCUUCCCUCGCCGCUCGCUUUGCUGCUAUGCAGGGUCCCGACACUCCGUGUGUCGAGGCACUUUCUAAUCUCUUGCUAUUCGGCCACAAGAGGCAUCAUCGUCACAGAUAAUAGGCACGGGAGCCUAUGCAGUGCGGGAUGAUGCAGCUGGUCAAUGAAUUGUAAUGAGAAUACAGCAUUGAGUCUUUAAUUACCUCAGUUGGCUCAGGUGGACGGACCACUCAGGUCACAUGGAGACACAAGACACUGCAGAUCCUGGGAUCUGGAGCAGGAAAACAAACUGCUGGAAGAAGUCAGCAAGUCAGACAGCAUCUGUGGAAGGAAAUGGGCAGUCACUGUUUCAGGUUCUUUUGAAGACCCUGACCUGGAGUUACACUCUGACUUCGGUUCUUUGCGGGAAUAGGACCCGCUCUCAGGGCCUCCCGACCGGGCGCUUUUCGCUAUGCCAAGGACGCGGUUUGGAAGACUAGCGCGCCUUCAGGCUGCCAGAUCUUCGUGGCUCUGGAGACGGGCUGAUUCAAGGCUGGUGCUCCUGACUGAGGCGUUGCGAGAGAACAUGGAACAUCAGGAACGGCGGUUUGGCUGCUGGCUGUGUGUCCGGAGACUUGAGUGCAGAGCUCAGAAAAAGCAAUGCAGCAGACUGUUAACACCAUAAAUCAGGACAGCAAGAGAUGUGAACGGAGAGAUCCAGAGAAAAGUAGAAUACACUUGCUGAAUUCUUGGCCUCCCAUUCCUUGGUAAAAUGUCUGAUCCUGCCAACUCUCCCCAUUCUGCCCUCCCUAAAUUCUACAAUCUCCUCUUUACUGCCACUCAUUGCCCCUCCCCGAUAUCUUAUUCCCAGUCUUGAUUCUGUUGUCCCUGCCCAGAACAUGUUGUUGUUCUUCAUCCCAACCACAAAACAUUACUUGAAUGCAAGUCGCAGAUCAGUCAUGAUUUUCUUCAGUGGCGAGCAGGCUUAAGGAGCUCUUGUUGGCAUAUCUCCAUAGUAUGUGGAUGCAUCAGGCAACUCUUAGUAAGACAAGGCCUUUGGAAAGGGAACGUCUUGAAACACAGUCUUGUUUCCUUUGACAAUUGACAAAAGGGCAGCGCAGUAGCGUAGUGGUUUGUGCAAUACUUUACGUUGCUAGCAAUCACUGACCGCUGAUCAAUUACCACUGCUGUCUGUACAGAGUUUGUACAUUCUCCCGGUGACUGCAUGGGUUUCCUCCCACACGCUUAAUACUUAGGGUUGGGUUAGUGAGAUGUGGUCAUGAUACGGUGGUAUGGGCUGCCCCAGCACAAUCCUUAGACUGUGUUGGCCGUUGACGCCAAACGAUGCAUUUCAAUAUUUUGAUGUACAUGUGACACAUAACAUUAAUCGUAAUCAGACUAUUCUGCUAAUGCUGAUCAUCUGCAUUUGUGUUUGGGGUUUUGGAGGACCUGAGUUGCCCCUGCAAGUGCAGACAAAGGAGGGAAAUGGAGGGUGGAUCAGGAAAGGAAAACUAGACAAUAGCUGUUCAGAUUUACCAGUUCCCACCUCCCUUUCAUAAGGAACACUUCCUCAGCUCACUCUACACUCUUAUCUCAGAGCCCAAUUAAAGCUGGAUGAAACGAAUGCAUCCAGAAAUAGUGCAGUCAUGAAUUUUAAAAUGUGUGCGAGGACCCUAAUGUAAUCUGUUUGAGGAGUUUCAGUUCCAAUACACAACAGCAGGCUGAACAGAUUCAGGUCACUGUGGGAAUUUGUUAAGUGGGAUACAGACCUUCUUCUGUACAUUAAAUUCCCUUUGUUUGCUGCUUAGUUAAUUAGGCUUUGAAGUUAAAGGUAAAUAGCAAAUAGUCCUUUUUAUAAGCAGACACUUCUCAGUUAUAUUUAAAGUGUCUCUUCCUUCUGUCCUAGAAUACAGCCAUUCUUUGAUUUACAAUCCAUUAUAUUCCAUCUAUCAAAAAGAUACAUUUCCAAAUAUUAUUUAUUUUUUAUUUAGAGAUACAGCACAGUAACAGGACAUUCCGGCCCACUGAGUCAGCAUAGCCCAAAUACACCCAUGUGACUAAUCAGCUUAUGUCUUUGGACUGUGGGAGGAAACCAGAGCACCCGGAGAAAACGCACGUGGUCACUGGGUAAACGUACAAACUCCUUGCAAAGAGUGGAGGGAAAUGAACCUAGGUCACUGGUACUGUAAAGUUUUUGCGCUAACUGCUUCCCUGUCACCCUGGAAAUAUUCAUUCAGAUAUUUCUCGUGACAUUUGUACUGAUCAGUUUUACGCUGGCUCAAAGAGCACCCCAUACCCCCAAAUCGUACCUGUACUGAAUCUCCCCUCCUCUCGCACAACCUCUCAUGGACACAUUCUACACAAUUAGGAAGCUCACCACCGCCUCUACUUUCUGUGGAGUCUGGAAAGAGCUGGACUACGCACAUCUACUCUUGUCAUUCUACAGACGUGGAGCAGGGAGCAUCCUAACAAGGUGCAUCACUGCAUGAUAUGAAAAUGGCACUGGGGCGGGCAGGAAGGCUCUACAACGGGCAAUCAUAACUGUCCAAUGCAUCAUCACACCAGCCUUUCUGCUAGCAAGGAAAUAUAUACAGAAAAGUGACGGAAAAGGGCCAGUAACAUCAUGAAGGAUCCGACCUACCCACCUCAUGGACUGUUUGCCCCACUCCCAUCAGAGAAGAGGCUACGUAGCAUCCACUCCAGGACCACCAGACUCAAAAACAGUUACUUUCCCCAAGCAGGAGGGAUGAUCAACACCUCCACCCACUGACCCAACCACCACUACUUUAUCAUUUCCUGUCGGAGUCACUUAUGUACAGACACUCCUGUGCCUAGCAUCAUUUUAUGGACAUACAAUCAACCUAUGUAUAUAAACUAUCUUACAUAUUUAUAUUUUUUGUGUUUUUUAAUUGUUAUUGUCUUCUUUAUCUUAUUGUACGUUUUUAUUUGUGUUGCAUUGGAUCCGGAGUAACAAUGAUUUCUUUCUCCUUUACACUUGUAUACUGGUUGAAAUGACA